This 2761-nucleotide long non-coding RNA is filed under the name Homo sapiens (human). RNAcentral describes it as "non-protein coding DHRS4-AS1:6". The record is from RNAcentral. Lineage: Eukaryota; Metazoa; Chordata; Mammalia; Primates; Hominidae.
GACUGGGGCAGCCCAGAACACUGGGGAGACUAGAUCGAUAGGGCUGCACAGAGGUGGCACAGUUGUGCCAGAGGGCCAGACUUUGGCAGCGUGUAAGGUCUGAGGACAGGGGCACCGGAGGCCGAGGAUGAGAGGCCAGUGCCUGUUUCCAGGCAGCCAGGGCCUCAGAAACUCCGGCCGGAGCACUCACCCGUCGGUGGAGGCCGUUACCAGGGCCACCUUAUUUGCGAGCGGGUCCCGGCGGGUCAUCCCGGAGCUGGCCAUCCGCACCGAAUUCCAAGCCCGGGCACAGAGGCCUAGCAGCCCCGCCUUGUGCAUGGAUCAGACCAGCAAGUGCCACUUCGGAUAAACCCUUUGGACUCCUAACUCCAAUCAGGUGUCUGCUUUGUUGAGGACUCACAGACACAGUCUCCUUUCUUCAAGAUCUUUACAAUGCAAGACCUCACUAACACACAGGGAUGGUCUCCCAGAGGGUCUGUGCUGUUCCUUCACUCAGAACAUCAAGAUGCACUGAAGUAAGGAUCCUCUAUUCUACAGUUCCUGCUAGCUGAGCUAUUCCAUGGGGGCUUCAGCAGGAAAUUCCAAGGUUGGCUUUGACAAGCUAAGGCCGGCUGGUGGAGCACAUCGAGUUCUGGAGGUUCAUGUGUGUUUUCAUGAAGAUCUGUCUGCCCGUAGCAGAUAAAGAGUUGUUGCCCCACUCCUCCUGGGGUCUUCUAUUUUCCUGGGAGGAAUUUCUGGAUUAACUGAACACACACACACACACACACACCCUUUUGAAGCAUCAACAGUAAUUCUGAGUUCUUAGGGACAAUGCAGAUUAAAUCCACAAUAAGAAAGACAACUAUGGCCAGGUGUGGUGGCUCACGCCUGUAAUCCCAGAACUUUGGGAGGCUGAGGCGGAUGGAUCACCUGAGGUCAGGAGUUAGAGACCAACCUGACCAACAUGGAGAAACCCCGUUUCUACUAAAAAUGCAAAAUUAGCCGGGCAUGGUGGCAGGCGCCUGUAAUCCCAAAUACUCGGGAGGCUGAGGCAGGAGAAUCACUUAAACCCGGGAGGCAGAGGUUGCAGUGAGCCAAGAUCGCGCCAUUGCACUCCAGCCUGGGCAAGAAGAGCAAAACUCCAUCUCAAAAAAAAAAAAAGAGUACUAUUGAUCCAGAGGUGACCAGACUAGCCUCACUGGAGAUAAUAGGUGACAUUAUUAUGCAAAGUGGUUUCAGUUCCCUUGUCUUGUUUUUGGAAUAGUAUAAGAGGCCUACAAUACGAAUAAAUAAGGCCCAUCACAAGCCUCACCAAAGGACAAAACUAAUCCACUUCUGAAGAAGGCUCUUUGUUGGGCCAGAUCAAAUCCUUGGACAGAACUGUACUCUUAAUCUCUGUAGUGAAAGUGGGGGGUAGUUUAAGAAUUUAUUAACCUUCUACCUUGAGCAAUCCCUCAGAAGUAAGAGGUGUCAGGCCUCUGAGCCGAAGCUCAGCCAUUGUAACCCCUGUGACCUGCACAUAUAUGUCCAGAUGGCCUGCAGGAGCCAAGAAGUCUGGGGCAGCUGAAAAACCACACAAGAAGUAAAACAGCCAGUUCCUGCCUUAACUGAUUAACCAACAUUACAACAUUCCACCAUUGUGACCUGUCCCUGUCCUACCUUAACUGAUCAAUCGACCUUGUGACAGUCUUCUUCUGGACAAUGGGUCUUAUCAUCUCCCCACCAUGUACCUUGUGACCCCCUCCUCUGCUAACAAUAGAUAACCACUUUUUACUGUAAUUUUCCAUUACCUACCCAACUCCUAUAAAGCAACCCCUUCCCCAUCUCCCUUCACUGACUCUGUUUUCAGACUCAGCCCACUUGCACUCAAGUGAAUAAACAGCCUUGUUGCUCACACAAAGCCUGUUGGUGGUCUCUUCACACAGAUGUGCUUGACAAAAGGGAAGGGUGGAUUUGUCCUUCUGGUUACAUAUGUUCUGCUCACUCAUUUUGAAUUUAAUUAAACAAGGAUUGCCCUUACCUUUUCAUACUUUGUAAGAAACCAUAAAUACUUAUGCACCAUGAUUUUUUUAAAGAAACACUUUUUAUUUUGAAGUAAUUAUAGUCUCAUAGGAAGUUGCAAAAGUAGUACAUAGAGUCCCUGAGUACUCUUCCCCCAGUGGUGACAACUGUAGUAUAAUAUCAAUUCUGGGAAAUUGACAUUGGUACAAUACCAAAUAUACUAUGCCUUUUUCUCUAAGGCAUGAUGUUGCAGUAGCAUCCUUGUACAUGUAGCUAGGAGAACUUGUACUAAGCCCAGAUAAAUAGUUGAAGUACAAGGGCAAGGAGUGUGUCUUUGAUAUUUUAAUAGAAAUCACCUAUUGCCCUCUAGAAAAGCUGUACCCUUUUCCAGUGGCAGAGAACCUUCCUGAAAGGCAGUCCUGUGUAAUGGUGUCCAUUUCAUCACACCCUUAAAACACUCAGCUUUAACAAACAUGCAGAUUUUUGCUGAUGUGGGAGAAAAUAUUAAUUAUUAAUGAUAUUAAGGUGAUUAUCUUUUCGUAUGUUUAUAGAUAUUUGUAUUUCUUUUUAAAUGAACUGCUCAUGACCUUUGUCUACUUUUAUUUGGGUUUACUUCUUUCUCAUUUAUUCCUAUAAACUCUUUAUAAAAGGAAAUUAACCAUUUGAUUGUCAUAUGUUGUGAAUAUUUUUACCAUUUUGACUUUUGAAUUUAUGUCUUUUUAAUGAAUUGUAGAAGUUUAAAAUCUUUAUGGAAUAAAUUUAUUUAGUUUUUUGUUUAUGG